Molecule: ribosomal RNA, 495 nt
Filed under: uncultured bacterium
Lineage: Bacteria
Description: bacterial SSU rRNA
Rfam family: Bacterial small subunit ribosomal RNA
Source: RNAcentral
AAUCAACGCUGGCGGCGCGCUUAACACAUGCAAGUCGCACGAGAAAGUGGAGCAAUCCAUGAGUAAAGUGGCGUACGGGUGAGUAACACGUGGGUAAUCUGCCCUUCAGUGGGGAAUAACCCUGGGAAACCGGGGCUAAUACCGCAUAUUCUCGGGAGAGGAAAGCAGCGAUGCGCUGAAGGAGGAGCCCGCGGCCGAUUAGCUUGUUGGUAGGGUAAUGGCCUACCAAGGCUGUGAUCGGUAGCCGGCCUGAGAGGGCACACGGCCACACUGGCACUGAAACACGGGCCAGACUCCUACGGGAGGCAGCAGUGGGGAAUCUUGCACAAUGGGGGAAACCCUGAUGCAGCGACGCCGCGUGAGCGAUGAAGCCCUUCGGGGUGUAAAGCUCUUUCGGCAGGAACGAUAAUGACGGUACCUGAAGAAGAAGCUGCGGCUAACUACGUGCCAGCAGCCGCGGUAAUACGUAGGCAGCAAGCGUUGUUCGGAGUUACG